Molecule: ribosomal RNA, 301 nt
Filed under: uncultured bacterium
Lineage: Bacteria
Description: partial 16S ribosomal RNA
Rfam family: Bacterial small subunit ribosomal RNA
Source: RNAcentral
CAGUCGCCGCGGGAAUACGUAGGGUGCAAGCGUUAAUCGGAAUUACUGGGCGUAAAGCGUGCGCAGGCGGUUCUAUAAGACAGAUGUGAAAUCCCCGGGCUCAACCUGGGAACUGCAUUUGUGACUGUAGAGCUGGAGUACGGCAGAGGGGGAUGGAAUUCCGCGUGUAGCAGUGAAAUGCGUAGAUAUGCGGAGGAACACCGAUGGCGAAGGCAAUCCCCUGGGCCUGUACUGACGUUCAUGCACGAAAGCGUGGGGAGCAAACAGGAUUAGAUACCCCUGUAGUCCCUGUCUCUUAUAC